Molecule: long non-coding RNA, 1139 nt
Organism: Pogoniulus pusillus (Red-fronted tinkerbird)
Lineage: Eukaryota; Metazoa; Chordata; Aves; Piciformes; Lybiidae
Exons: 3
Source: RefSeq, a predicted model, not a curated record
UUGUUCUGUUGAGUCGUUUGGUUUGUUUAUGUAUCCUAUGUAGAGGUGUAGUUUUACAAAAUGCCCUCUGCAAGCAGGAAGAACUCCCCUCCGAACUGAUUCUUCACCUGAGCAUCAGGAAAAGAAAGAAAUCUGUGACUGAUGACAUUUCAAGGGCAAGGAAAACAACUGCUCAGGGGAGAAUUGUCUGAUUUGGUUGGUGUUUAUUUUUACUUCCAUCAAGCAAUCUGCUCUCCAACAGAAGAAGCAUCUCUGCAGAAGAGAAGACUGUCUCCUUUUUGGAUGGAUGCCUGAUCAGAAGAAAAGGUGCCACUAAGGACCAGAGUGCCUGUGUCCAUACAACGAGAGAGGAUACAGGAGUGGAAACAAGCAGCAAGGGUCGUCUUGCCUGACACCUGUAACUUUAUGUCACCUGACAGAAGACACAUGACAUCAUUGCCUAGACUUCAAUAUCACACCAACAUCAGCUACAAGAUCAGGAGUCCCCUAGUAUGACAGGUAAAGGUCACAAUCUGGAUGUUAGUAGGGUGGAACAGCAUCAUGUUCAAAUGUUCUUCUGAAAACUUGGGGAAAUACAUCCCCAAAGUCUUUAUCUAAAAGAGAGAAGUAAUAAGACUGCAGAAGACUAAGAAGACUAGAAAGUUUCAGAGUUAGGAAAAGCAGCCAGAAAUCGUGUAAUUAGAGAUUACUUUAGGGCAUAUACAUGGAAAGGCAACCUUUAUUCUGGCAUUUUCUAACUCCUGCAUGCUCACAAAUUAUUCAUGUUUUGGCAAAGACUUUGUAUAUGUAAAAUGCAUAUAUUAUAUAUAGAACUGAAUUAAUCUCUGAUAUAUUUUUGACUUAUAAAUAGUUUCCUGUUUCUGUGCUAGAAUCUACACCAUUAAUGCAUUCAAAUGCCAGUGUCUGGAUUUAUUUGCUUCUUGAUAAUCCAAAAUCUGAGCCUAGACAUGCUCAGCCUGUCCAAAUUUCAGUCUUAUCUAGCAUUAUUUUUUUGUAAGUCAGCCUAAUAAAUUAUCUGUGUCCUGAUGUAAAGUGGUUCUCUUGCUCAGGGGCUCUGGAUUGCUCUAAUGUUAUUUAUUUAGUUAUUUUCACCUGCUGCACGAACAUUAUGGUUGACAGACAGUAAUUUUUCCCCCUAU